This 24-nucleotide ribosomal RNA is filed under the name Pyrenophora teres. RNAcentral's name for it is "partial 28S ribosomal RNA". The record is from RNAcentral. Lineage: Eukaryota; Fungi; Ascomycota; Dothideomycetes; Pleosporales; Pleosporaceae.
GAUCAGGUNGGGAUACCCGCUGAA